AUGCCGCGUGAGCGAAGAAGGUCUUCGGAUUGUAAAGCUCUGUUGCCGGGGAAAAGGAAGGAAAGAGGAAAUGCUUUUCUUUGGAUGGUACCCGGCCAGAAAGUCACGGCUAACUACGUGCC
This 122-nucleotide ribosomal RNA is filed under the name uncultured bacterium. Its description in RNAcentral is "partial 16S ribosomal RNA". It matches the Rfam family "Bacterial small subunit ribosomal RNA", at positions 394 to 509 of the family's 1533-position model. The record is from RNAcentral.